RNA transcript from Oreochromis aureus, 3008 nucleotides. It is a transcript of the gene named serine and arginine rich splicing factor 2b, with no coding region annotated. The record is from RefSeq and is a predicted model, not a curated record. The transcript has 4 exons. NCBI's taxonomy places the organism in Eukaryota, Metazoa, Chordata, Actinopteri, Cichliformes, Cichlidae.
CAACUGUUCCGAUACUCCCGACACAUAUGGGAUCACUACAGGUUUUCGCCUGGGCAGCGGUUGUCCUUCUCUCCUGGAUCGGCUGGAGCUUUCUUUAGGUGCCUUCCCAGCUUUGACAAAAGUUUUGCUUCGUGUUUUCGUGUCCUCGUUGGCGUGUUUAGUGUAAAGACUGCAAUCACCGCACGGGGGCGCUCGGGAGCGCAUUUCACUGCGUUUGUUUUCCGCGUGGAAGAAGAAGCUCUAGUUGCUGCUGGCUCGGCGCGAUUCGGAGACGUUUGUGGCGUGCUCUGUGCUUUUGGCGGCAGUAAACUGAGCCAGAUCCGCGAGGUUCUGCUUAAUUCGCUCCUUUCUGUCUCUGCGGAGCGUUUUGAGCCGCGCAGGCGCAAUCUGUGUUACUUUCCGGACUGUUCUGGGAGCUUCCCGGGCCUCUCGCGCCAGGCAGCAUGAGUUACGGCAGGCCUCCGCCGGACGUCGACGGCAUGACUUCCCUCAAAGUGGACAAUCUAACGUACCGGACCUCUCCCGAAGCCCUCCGCCGGGUGUUUGAGAAGUACGGCCGGGUGGGGGACGUCUACAUCCCGCGAGACCGCUACACCAAGGAAAGCCGGGGCUUCGCGUUUGUUCGGUUCCACGACAAACGGGACGCCGAGGACGCGAUGGACGCCAUGGACGGCGCGCUGCUGGACGGGCGGGAGCUGCGGGUCCAGAUGGCCCGGUACGGCAGACCCCCCGACUCCCAUUACGGCGGAGGACGGCGAGGAGGAGGACCGAGCCGGAGGUACAGCGGACGGCGGAGCAGAAGCUGUUCCCCCAGCCCGAGACGCAGGAGACGGAGCAGAUCCCGCAGCAGGAGCCGCACGCCUUCUCGAAGCCGGUCCCGCUACAGCAGAUCCAGGUCCCGGUCCUACUCCAGGUCCAAGUCCCGCUCUCCCAGGACCAAGAAGACCAAGGCACGCUCUCCUUCCAGGUCUAGGUCCCGGUCCAGAUCCAGAUCCAGGUCCAGGUCCAGAAGCCGCACCCCUUCCUCCAAGAGAGGGUCCAGGUCGAGAUCUAAAAGCCAGCCAAAGUCAGCAGCAGAAAAUGGAAAUGAAACCUCGUAGAGCUGCGGUAUCCUGUUUGCUAAAGAGGAGUUUGAGCUGAGGCAGAAUGAGCAGGUACAAGGUGUGUGGCGAGCUGCAGCGACAGGGUGAAGGCAGUCAGUGUUGGUUUGGUGGUGUUGAGUUUCGGUUAAAGACGUGUGACCUCCCAGACCGGCUCCCACGCAAGCACCAGAGUCCAGCUGUGAAAGGUUAUUUUGUCUUCCGUGCUUUGGUUCAUUUCCUGUUUUUUGCUGAUUUAUUGUGAUUUUGUUUCCUUUUCAUGUCCCGAUUACAGUUUAAAUGGUGGGUUCAGACCUGGAUUUAAAAAUGAAAGCUCAUAAGAUAAAAUGUUCCACUGCUUUCAUAUUAUCAUCUCCUCUCUGGCCUGUAUCACAAAGCCACAUCUGGUGUCAUAACUGCAAUACAGUCACAUGUGUGAACCUCAGUUUCUAAUAUUACUAAACCUUCUAUAAUAACACAUCUGAUGUUUUUAGUUGAGUUUGGACACAAAGGUCUGUCCUUUGUGUCCAAACUGUCCUUUAUGAUAACAGAAGACCUUAUUUAAGCUUGAAAUUAGCUGUAAUCUCCCUUUGUGAUACAGGCCCACAAAAUAAUGCUUAAAGGAUAAUUUAUCUGUAGAUCUUCUUGGGGGUGGUGGUACGUAAAAGUGUUUAUACCUGAGCAGAGAAACACUGAGCUCCCUGCAGGCCCAGAUUCAAACCCAGAGCUGCUGUCAGAGCCACCACAGUCCAGUGAUCGCUCUUUAAAUUAGCAUCUGAAUUCACUGUUAAAACACCAAAGACUCACAAAACUAAACAGAUUAAAGUGUCCUGGUGUCCUGUGAGUUAAAAUUCCAGUUUUUGUGAACGGAGCCUGGUGUAGUGUGGAAAGACGGCGCCCAUUUCCACGACAAGCACAGCGUGUUUGGUUCGGCAGUUUCACUUCAAUUCCAGAGAUGGCUGUGUUCACAGCUGUAUGUGGACUUAGUCUGCGUGGGGGUGUGGCCUGCUGUCAUACGCAGCAGGUGACACCUCAGAUGACCUCACCUUAAAGAAAUGGAGUGAUUUAAAUCAGCAGAAAGAAAACAGUGAAGUCCAUUACUGCGUUUCCUGGAAGCUGCAGCAGCUCCUGAGUGACACACAAACUCCUUUUUUUUUAAAUUACUUAAUGUUUUCUUUAUUUUAACCUUUGUGUACAGCGCUUUGACUGCCUGUCUGCGAAAAGCGCUUAAUAAAUAAACCUUACCUUACUUAUCAACAAAAUCAACAUUUAUAUUGAUUAGACGGCUUUAAUGAAAAUACGAGUCACACACAAGUCAUUUUAAAUGUUCGAAAGGAAAGAACGGAUCGGGAGCUUCUUCAGAAGCUGCAGGGAAGCUCAGGCCGUCCAGCGCUGCUCCUUAAAUUCCCAAAUCUCUGAAAAAGAGACGGAAAUCGGCCUGAACCAAGCCAGAAUUAUACUUUAAGCAUCCAUUUGUUUUCUGUCGCACCUCCACCUGCUUUUCUUGUCUGAUAAAGUGACAUGAAACACUUUUACCCUGUAGAACUGUAGCUUUUUAUUUUCAGUGUGUUUAUUUAGCUUUUUAAUUGAAUUUCCGCAUUUAAAAAAAACACAAACUUUACAUUAGUGCAGCUCAGUGUUUGUUAUUCCAACCUUUUCAGGACAGACGCACACUGACGCCUUUGUUCCUUUUUUAAUGCUAACCCUGCUCGUGUGUUUCUUUGUGCACUAGGCGCAGUUGUGUAGCAGUUGAGUUUUGCUGGUUAGCUGUUAAGGUGGCGUGUUGCGCCGACGUGUCCGUGUUCUCCUGAUUGGUCCUGUGACCGCGGCGCUAACGACUGCUUCAGUCUCAGCUUCUGUACAAAGACAUGGUUUUUCUCUUGUACACAAAUGUGACUUUCAAUAAAGAUUUGAUGUUUUGUGUAUAAA